UACGUAGGUGGCAAGCGUUGUCCGGAUUUACUGGGCGUAAAGGGCGCGUAGGCGGGAUGGCAAGUCGGUCGUGAAAUCCUUCGGCCCAACCGAAGAACGUCGGCCGAUACUGCCGUUCUUGAGGGAUGCAGAGGAGACUGGAAUUCCCGGUGUAGCGGUGAAAUGUGUAGAGAUCGGGAGGAACACCGGUGGCGAAGGCGGGUCUCUGGGCAUUUCCGGACGCUGAGGCGCGAAAGCGUGGGGAGCAAACGGG
This 253-nucleotide ribosomal RNA is filed under the name uncultured bacterium. Its description in RNAcentral is "partial 16S ribosomal RNA". It matches the Rfam family "Bacterial small subunit ribosomal RNA", at positions 524 to 776 of the family's 1533-position model. The record is from RNAcentral.